This 570-nucleotide ribosomal RNA is filed under the name uncultured Ascomycota. RNAcentral describes it as "eukaryotic LSU rRNA". The stretch from base 203 to 356 matches the Rfam family "5.8S ribosomal RNA". The record is from RNAcentral. Lineage: Eukaryota; Fungi; Ascomycota.
CUUGGUCAUUUAGAGGAAGUAAAAGUCGUAACAAGGUCUCCGUUGGUGAACCAGCGGAGGGAUCAUUACAGAGUUGCAAAACUCCCAACCCUUUGUGAACGAACCUACCAGUUGCCUCGGCGGCGAGCCUUUCAGGCGGACCGCCGAAGGAAUACAAACUCUUUGCAUUAUAGUAUCUCUGAUUACUUAUUCAAUAAGUUAAAACUUUCAACAACGGAUCUCUUGGUUCUGGCAUCGAUGAAGAACGCAGCGAAAUGCGAUAAGUAAUGUGAAUUGCAGAAUUCAGUGAAUCAUCGAAUCUUUGAACGCACAUUGCGCCCGCUAGUAUUCUGGCGGGCAUGCCUGUUCGAGCGUCAUUUCAACCAUCAAGCCCUAGGCUUGUGUUGGAGCCCUGCAGCUGCCGCAGCCUCCUAAAAACAGUGGCGGGCUCGCUAUCACACCGAGUGCAGUAGUUUACUCUUCGCUCAGGGCGUGUGGCGGGUGCUGGCCGUGAAACCCCCUACUUUUUAAGGUUGACCUCGGAUCAGGUAGGAAUACCCGCUGAACUUAAGCAUAUCAAUAAGCGGAGGA